AGUUGCCCGACGCACUUCAGACGAUCGGGUUUUUGUUUCAGUCGAACCGAACGAAAUGCCAAUGGUGGACGGGUGUUUGAAAAGCAUAACGUGUGGUUCACUGGUCGGAUAAGCACAGAUAUCACCCUGAAAUGUGACGACCGAAAUCGAUAAUUCUCCAGGCCUAGGAGAUUUUUUUGUUCGUUCUCUCUUUCUCUCUCACGCGAAUGAGAGAUUGAAUUAUAAUUUUGGAUAAAGUAAUAACGAGCCUGAACGACGAUGGAUCAAGCGAGAAAACAAAUAGCCUCGUCGGAAAUAGCGAUGGCGAACGAGGUGUUCGAUCUUUUCUGCAACGCCACCACCCUCAAAUCCAUCCUCGGGCACUUUCGACACCUGUGCGAUCUCCUCAAAAUGCGGCCCAACACUUUUCCACAGUUUUAUCCAAAGUUCAAAUCAAAACUCCGCUCGUGGAAGGCCCAAGCUCUUUGGAAAAAAUUCGAUCAACGAGCCAAUCACAAAUGUUACAAUCGAGGCAAAGCCUGUUCUAAUACCAGAGUCCUAAUUAUCGGUGGUGGUCCGUGCGGCCUAAGAUCAGCGAUCGAGGCACAAUUGCUCGGUGCUAAAGUGGUCGUCGUCGAGAAACGAGAUCGAGUAUCCCGCAACAAUGUUCUUCACCUCUGGCCCUUCGUUAUCCAGGAUCUCCGUGCCCUCGGGGCUAAAAAGUUUUUUGGCAAAUUUUGCGCGGGCUCCAUCGAUCACAUUAGCAUUAGACAACUGCAGUGUAUUUUGCUCAAAGUCGCCCUCAUACUCGGGGUCGAAUUCCACGAGAAUGUUAGCUUCGAGUCGUUGGUACCGCCACCGGACGAUCAGGAGGAAGGCAAAAUCGGAUGGAGAGCAAAAACAACGCCUACGGAUCAUCCAGUCUCGCAGUACGAGUUCGACGUACUCGUCGGUGCUGACGGCAAACGAAACACUCUCGAAGGCUUCAAAAGAAAAGAGUUUCGAGGAAAACUCGCGAUUGCGAUAACCGCCAAUUUUAUCAAUAAACGUACUGAAGCCGAGGCACGGGUCGAGGAAAUAAGCGGCGUCGCUUUUAUAUUCAAUCAGAAAUUCUUCAAGGAAUUGUAUCAAGAGACUGGCAUUGAUCUCGAGAAUAUUGUUUAUUAUAAGGACGAUACUCAUUAUUUCGUAAUGACUGCCAAGAAACACAGCCUCAUUGAUAAGGGAGUCAUUCUUCAGGAUCACGCUGACACUGCAAAAUUAUUGGCCAAGGAAAACGUGAAUCGUGACGCUCUUAUGCUUUACGCGAGAGAAGCGGCCGAAUUUUCAACGGAGUAUCAAAUGAUGGACAUGGAAUUCGCUGUCAACCAUUACGGCCAACCGGACGUGGCGAUGUUUGAUUUCACGUCGAUGUAUGCGGCUGAGAACGCGAGUCGUGUUUUGGAACGUUACGGUCACAGACUUCUCAUGACUCUCGUUGGCGACAGUUUACUCGAGCCAUUCUGGCCUACGGGAUCAGGCUGCGCACGUGGGUUCCUCAGUUCUAUGGACGCUGGAUGGGCCAUAAAGGGCUGGGGCGCCUCGAUGUUGCCUCUCGAAGUUUUAGCCGAGCGUGAGUCGAUUUACAGACUCCUCGGGCAAACGACCCCGGAGAAUUUGAAUAGAGAUUAUGCCGCUUAUACUCUCGAUCCCCAUACCAGGUAUCCAAAUUUAAAUACACGCUCGGUCUCGGCAAUUCAAGUGCGAAGUCUCCUCGAUACUGAUGAUCCGGAGAACAUAAAACAGCCAUCGGCGAUUCCGUCGGCGAUCGAUUUACCAAAGAAACGAAGGCGCCGCGACACUCAGGUACAUCCGGACACAUUGCUACACUGGCUCCAGAGACAAGUUGCCCUUUACGACGACGUUCACAUCGUCGACAUGGGUGCAUCCUUCAAAGACGGCCUUGCCUUAAAUGCCAUCAUCCACAGAUACAGGCCUGACCUCAUAGACUUUCAUUCACUUACGACUGAGGAUGUAGAAAAAAAUAAUCAAUUGGCCUUUGAUAUAUUGGAAAAGGAAUUGGGAAUUUCACCGGUAAUGACGGGUGAGGAAAUGGCGCAUUGUGACGUACCAGACAAGCUCGCGAUGUUUUCAUACCUAACGCAAAUAUACGAGGCUUUCCGCGGUGAGAUACCCCACAUAAAGCAUCCAAAAUUGGAACCGGAAAACGACGAGAGACCCCUUUAUUCGAAACAAUUGUCCCAACUGAGUCCGGAGCAAAAGGCUCAGCUGAUCGGCCGUCUCGCAAAGCCGGAAAUGCCAACGCGACCUCGUCACUCCCGAUCUCGUCACAACAACGAAAACGUUCUCGUUCCGUUGGACAAAAAAACCGACACGGUGUCCCGACGUUCCCGCAAACGUCGAAGCACCGAAAAAAUGGGCGCGACCGUGGAGGAGAGGCAAAAGAGACUCGAAGACAUUGAAAAAAAUCGCGUCGAACGUAUGAGGAAACGCCAGUAUCUACGUAAAAUGGCUACCCAACAAUUCAUUAAGAGCAUACAAAUGCUCGCGGCAAACGCGAAACGCGAUAAGGACGAGCCUUUCGAGGAUUACUCAAUAUUCUUGUAUCGUCAAACCGCCCCCGACUUCAAGGAUCGGGUCAAAGAACUCGAGCAGAAAAUACUUUAUCCAGAUAGGGAGCCAAAAUUGCACGCCGGACAUCUUCGAGGCAGCGUCGAUGAUGAUUUUUCCGGGCGAAUUAAGGAUAUUGAAGACAAAUUAAGAGGCACUGCCGCUACCGAUAAGAAACCGAGAGAUCUUUUGCGUGCUAUUGGGAAAAUCGAAAAAACGGAUUGGAACGUGAAGGAGAUCGAAAAGAAAAUCGAGGAAAACAAAAUGGGACGAGGGACCCGACAGGAGAGGGUGGAAAAAGUGCCAAAGUGGAGUCGGGAGCAGGUCUCUAUAUUCUUCCUUCAGUUUCUAGCUCGCCAGAUCAAGAUGGAGAAAAAAGGACGAGAGCCGAAUGCGAAGUUGGACAGUAAGUACGCCGAUAUUGAUAACACUCUCAAGGACAUUGACCGAAAAAUCAAGGAGGGUAACGUUCUUGGUCACAAUAAAGUUUCCGCUAUGGCCGAACAAUUUGCCAACAAGGGUCAGGACAACGAGCCCAAAGUUCAGAGAUCGAAUUCUAAAGCAGCAAUAACACUACCGACACAGGGAGGAUCGGAACUGUGCCAUUUUUGUGAUAAACGAGUUUACCUAAUGGAGAGAAUGAGUACAGAAGGCAAAUAUUUCCACCGUGGUUGCUUCCGCUGUGAAUAUUGCUCAACAUCCUUAAGAAUAGGAAAUCACACGUUUGAUAGAGACAAAGAUGGCGGACGAUUUUAUUGUACACAACAUUUUGGCUUACCAGGAACUAUGAAAACUCGCGUGGAGAAGAAAAAACUACCGCUUUUGAAUAAGGAAAAUAUACCGGAAUCAUCGUUACCGAAAAAACCAGCAUUGGACAAGGCAAAAACACCGUUAGAAGGCGUCGCCGGCUUGGAUCUUCUGGAUCGCGGACAAACACCGGAAAGAAUAGAAUUUGAGAAUCUCGCAGGAAUGUCGGACCCCGAAGAGGCCCAAAGUCAAAUGGAUGAGGACGAAUGGACUGACAGAAAUUUCGGUGCAUCCGCAGCGGAAAUGGGUUCCAGCGACGACAUUUCUGACAUGAGUGAUUCGGACGAAGAGAAUGAAGUUUAUGAAGAAGCCAUGGAUCAACCGUUAACGACGGAAGGGACUAUAGAAUUGGCAAAGAAUUGGACUAUGCGUUAUUCAAAUCCACACGAAACGACGGGUCAUUCUGACACCGGAAGCAACGAGUACGAGGAUUCGAGCGACGAAUAUACGAGCGAAGACGAAGAGAGUGGCACCGCAACGGAAGACGAGGAAGACGUUCGGGCAAGGGAGCUGAGGAAACAAGAAGUCUGGCUGAAAGUUCCGCCAAGGAGUUCCGACACAGAUACGGGUUCCGAGACCGAGGUCGCUUCGGACAAUUCGUCGUCGUCGGAGAGUCAGGAAAAUUCAGCGACCGAAAUAUCGACGGAUUCGGAGUUCGAACAUGAUGGAACAACGCCAACGCAGCACGAAAUCCCGGAGAUAACGAUCAACGACGCGCACGUUAAGAAAAAUCGUGGUCAGACGAGCGAGCCGAAAAAGGUGCAAAUAAAAAGUCGUGUGAUAUCGUCGAUCAAUGGGAAUUUGAAACAGACGAAAGAGCCGGGUGUUAAGUUACAAUUCUCGAAAUUAUCAGCGACGAAGGAAGAAAAAACGGUUGAAAAAACGGUGGCGAAAUCAGGAGAUGUGGCGAUGAGGAUGAACAGGGAAAAAAUGCCAAGUCCAUUGGUGAAUCCACGCAAAGGCGAUUACUUGUUGAAUCGUACCCACUCGACCGAGGGAAUCGCCUCGAAAUUAUCUUUGGAAUUGAAAAAGCGUUAUUUGCUUGGAGGAUCAGUAUUGGCCGGUUCGGUCGUCAAAUCGGGUUCAACCUCAAACGUGGAUACGAGACUGAGAAAUUUAUCGGACGCGAUAUCGCAGCAUCAAAAAUUACUGAAUCCAGCUCCGGAGCCGAGUCCAACGAUGCAAGCGUUUCUCCAGGGUACAAACAAGCUCCGUACCAGUGGAGUAAAUGCUCAAAUAUCGCCGAUUUCGCCAACGGCAAUUUUCACGAGCUCUCCUCUCAAAACCUUCCGACCUGGGGCAAUAUCGACUGUUGCGAAAAACUCGAGCGAUUCAAAGAUACCCACUGAAGAGGCAAAAGUUCAGUUACCAGACUUAGUGAAAGAAACAAAUAUUCUUAAGUCAAAAACCGAGCCCAACAUACCGCGCGUAGAGACGAGCGAAAAAAAGAAAGACACCACGGAAUCAAUGGUCGUAGAAAAACUGGCUGGUCCAGUACAGAUCGCGACGGAAGAGAGUGACGUUUGCAGACCGCGAAGUCCGUUGCACGAAACCUCAAUUCUCGUGCCCCAAGUGGAUUGGAACAAAAACGUCAAGGAUGAAGGGACGAGAAGUCACGAGAGUUCUGAAGACUCGGAGAUCGACAGUGACUCGCUGUCAUCGAGCGAAAGCGACGAUUCGGAAGAAGCUAAAAGAGCUAAAGAGCCGAAUCUCUCGCCUCCAAGAUUACAAAUUCAAACUCCAAGAAUACAAAUUGACGGCGAUUUGCUUGUGGACGUCGGAGGCGAUCGAGAGGCGGUAGAGAACGACGAGGAAAUCGCCGCGAGUUUCGAACCCGAUUCCAUUGAAUUUAUCGACCUACGGGACGAUGAAAACGAGGCGGAAACUCCGCGAAUCACCGUCGAGCUCGAGGCGGUUAACAACAACUUGAAAAAAUUGCAACUAACCGAGAGUAACAACGGUAAAAGUAAUUGUAGCAGUCCAACAUCGAGCGCGUCACUGAAACACGAUGAUUCCAUUGAGAACGACGUGACAACCGCGGCGCUAACGGAAACAGAAUUUUCCGAAUGGGCUCGGGACGGCGAAGUCGUCGUCGCUGAUGAUAUGCGCGACGUUGAAUUUGAUAUUAAUCCCGAAUUUAUAACGAUACGAAGAAAUCGGGGUAGUCGAGAGAAAAAAAUGUCUGGAACUGCUCCGGCGAGAAUCGCGAAAGAGGAAGAUCUCACGGAUAUUGAACUCGACUCCAUACGAUUCGAUCGUCCGCUCGACGCUCCGAGCAACGACACAUCCAAGCUCUUGGUUAACGGAGAAAACAUCGAUUACAUGGACACCGAUAAUGAGUCACUUCUCGACGAUAGCUUACGGGAUGCGACCAACAUUUCCCUGCUUAAAAAUCGUGGCUACGUCGAAUUUGUGAAUAUUACGAGUUCUUCGAGUCCGGAAAAACCAGAAAUGAAACCAUUGGACGCGCCAAUCGCUCGCGACGAGAUGGAAAAUGAUUUUUGCUCCGAAGACGAACACUGGGACGACGAGAACGUGAUUGAGAUUAAUCCCGUCACGAUGGACGACGUCAAGGACCGAUUGAGUGGGAAAUUCUUUGAAAAAAGUGAUAAAUCGGUUGAGAUCGGUUUGGGAAAUAUUGAAAAGAGAGAAGAAUUGAACGAAGCCGUGAAUCGCGAGCUUUUUAAUUCGAUGGAAGAGGAUAGUUUGUUGGUAGUUGAACCGACUGAGGACACGACGACGAGCGAGAUUAUAACGAUUCUCGCGAGCCCCGUGAAUCCACGAAUCGAUCUCGCGACUGAUUUGUCGAUCGAAGCUUCUCGCAAUCAAGCAAACAUCCCGGAAAUUCAACCCGAAACUAACGACGAGAAAUCCAUUAAUGACGCGAAUAAUCCAGACUAUCUGGAGUAUGUAAAACGUCUUCAAUCCCGCAUUGCCGAAUUCAGUAACGCCAAAGACUCGAUAGAUGUGAGAAAAUCAAAGAGAAAAAACUCCAAGAGCUCUUCGCCUCAAUUAAAGACCGAAAACAUCGUCGAAGAAACGAGAAAUCAGCAAGACAUAAAUACCGAAGCAUUCAACUCGCCCGCAACUUCGCGGAAACUCGAGGAAUUGACGCGCGAGAGAACGAAACAAAAAACACUCAUCCAGGAUCUCUUGAUGGACAAAAUGGAAGCUCACAAACAGAAAUCAGCCGAGAAAAAAGCUAGAAGAGCCGCCAGAACUUCGUCAUUCGGAACAACGACAACUUUGUUUUCCAACGUUCCAAGUCCCGUUCCAGCUGCGGCUCCCAUUUCUUUCGUUCCGACCUCUUUGACAACCCCUGUCAAUAGUCCAGUCAGAACAACUUUCGCCGAAGCUAAGAAAAGUCUUCAAGGAUCACCCUCUUCGACUUUGACACGAAAUUCCAGUAAUCCGAGCCUCUUGUCCAGUCUUUCGAGUCAACGCUGCGAAACCGAGCUCACGUCUUUGGCCUCCUCUCGACCUCAAAGUCGCGAAGAUCCCCGUGAUUUCAAGACGCCCGUUGCUCCGCCCCGACUGAAACACGAGGAGGCCCGAAAAACUGCGGAAAAAGCGAAACAGGAAGCUCGCGAACGUGCGCGUCUCAAAAGCGACCAAGAUCUGGGUCUCAGCCCUGAGGACAGAAUCAGAGAACUCAGGCUCAAAGUCCCCCGCAGACAAUUGUCCAUGGAGGACAAACGAACAAACGAGGAACUCGCUACCAGCCAAGAAAGCAAAACUCGACAUCUCAGCUUCACUCUUGAUAAAACGCUGAACAAAUUGCAGACCAGCAAAAGCACGGAUAAUUUCAAAGCUUUCGCGAAGAAAAAUCAACCGGAUACACUGCCCAGUAGCAACGCCAAGUCCAUGGACGAAUUGAACGCUACCAACUCACCCACCAAAUCUGACAAUGAAAAUCUCGUCAUCAAGAGGGAUAAAAAGAAAUCACCGAAAGAUCCUGAAAGACGAAAAAGCAUCAUCAAAGCUGUUUCCGAUUUUUUCAAGAAAAAAGACAACUCUCCCUCCUCACCUAACCACCAGAAGGACAAGGGCUCUAUGUUCCGAUUGACCUCCAAAAAUAAGGAUAAACCAAAGUUAUAUAAAUCAUAUUCGGAGGGUUCGGAUUUGGAUAAAACUGCGAGCCCUGAUAAAAUGGAGACGAGACCACGGAGCGUUUGCGAAGGAAUGCUGGUUGGGAAUUUCUUGACGGAUAGCUCACCCCCUGUUCCUCCACCACCAAUAAAUUACAAUCUCACCGCCGUUCACGUCUCGGAUGACAGUCUGUCAGAAGAGGACUCGAAAACAGCAGCCCUAUCAACCUCCCAAAUCAACAAAACGAACCCCGGCGAUGGUUCCUGCAGUAGCAUACCUCGAAAAACUAAAUCAGCUAAAAGAGCUGCUAGGCAAACUCAACUGAAAAGGUUACGAAUGGCUCAAGAAAUACAAAGAAAGUUAGAAGAAACGGAAGUGAAACAAAGAGAGCUGGAAAGCAGAGGCGUCAGCGUAGAAAAAGCUCUCAGAGGCGAAGGAGAUUGUUCGAAUCGUGAAGAGGCUGACUUGUUACGGGAAUGGUUCGAUUUGAUGAGAGAACGAACAGAGCUGCGGAGAUACGAGAAGGAAUUAUUGGUGAGGGCGCAAGAAGUCCAACUGGAGGAUCGGCAUGAGAGAUUAGAGCAGGAAUUACGCGAAAGAUUGGCUGAUGAUGAUGACAAAAAGACGAGGGCCGACGUGAAAAAAGAAGGCGAGAUCUUGACUGAAAUGUUGGAAAUAGUUGCAAAGCGUGACUCCCUGAUAGCACUGCUGGAAGAGGAGCGACAAAGCUCGACAUUAGUUAACAACAAACAAGAAUCAGUCCAUCGUGAAAAAACAUACGAAGAUUCUUAUUCUGCUGAAUAUACCCCAGAAAAAAAAAUUAACUAUUAAAACACAAGAAACGAAAAUUGAAAAAGAAACAUUGGGCAAGAGGUUAAUAGGAUCACAGCACGGCUUCGCUUAAUUAUGCACAACUCUGCGCGCAGUUGACUCGAAAAAUUUGGACCGGAUACAGAAGCGAAGAUCAAGACCUCGAGGCAAGAAUGCUCGCUGAAGGCUUGAGGUUAACGCCUAUCAACAAAUCGGGUCCGAAAUAUUCCGUAUAAGAAUGCAAUCGAUCUCCGAGAAAUUCAUUUGAUGAAUUCAAUCGAGCGAUAUUGAAUCGGUCGUUCUAUAAUAUCUCAAAAUUUUUGAAUAUAAAAAAAGAAAAGGAAAAAAACGAAAAAACAUAAUACCGAUGGCGAACUCCGGGGCCUUUCGAUUGGCGGAGUAAAAUCGCGAUAAGGAAUUUAAGCGAGUUUCUAAAGGAUUUGAGAGCCGUGCAUUUUUUUAACGAUAAGAGAAAGGGGAAAAAUUGUGUUCUUUGCAUGUUGCAAUUUUACAAUUAGAAAAAUCGUGAUGAAAAGAUUAAACGUUUUCGAAUCGAAGUCGAGGCGUCAGAAAGAUACGACAGAAAGAGUAAAAAUAUUUUUCAAAUAAACGUUUUUGAAGGAGUAAGAAAAAUGAAAGAAGAAAGAAAAAAAAACAUGAAGAGACAAAGAUGCGUGAUAUGUAUAUUUUAUAAAGCCGAUAAUGCGUGGGUGUACCAAACUAUUUUUUACGCUUGCCAGAGCGAGCAAAUCGUCUGAUUUCCGGGGGAAACAAAAAACGAGAAGUGAUAAUUCGUUGAAAUCGCUCAUAUGAAAAUCAAAUAACCAGCGAUCAAUUGAAUUCUGUACAGACAACCUUUUUUUUAUAAUUAUACCUGAGAAAAUAACGAAUGGAGCAAUCAUUGGCAAUUUAUUCGAGGGCGGAAAUUCGUAUCGCCGACAACUGUUAAGUUCAAAAUUAUGAAAUUUAAAAGAAUACAAAAUUUAUCAUUGAGAACAGCUCUUCGAUCGGUCUAUCAUCGUACGUGCCUAAAAAUAAAAUGACAAAAAGGGGGGAAACUCGGAAUUGAAAUUCAUGGUGGAAAGACGAUUUUUUUUCUCCUAAUUUACCAUCUCUCGCCGAGGAUUUAUUAAUGCUGCAAUUUUUUAAUCAUGAAAUAGGCAAAAAAGAAAACACUAGUCCUCAGACAAGGGAGAUUUGUUCCGAUAGACUUCUGCCCAUAAUAAUUAAUGAUAAAUCGCAAUUAACGGAUAAUUCAUUAUUAAUAAUCAUUGCAUACGUUUUAUUGAUCACCAAGAAUAAAGUGAUUUGUUUUAUGCGGUUAUAUUUCCAAUGCUACGUCUUUUAAACUCAAGUAUUACUUACUCGAGCCAAAGCACAGUUCAUCGUUGGAAUAAUUACGAAACUAUUCAAUUCAUUGAAUUCUUAGCAAAACGCGAAAACUAAUAGGACAUGUUUAUAUACAUAUAUAUGUAUAAAUAUUUAUUUAAUUUAUGCAUAUAUAUGAAUAUAUAUUGAUACUUUGUAUAAUCAUGUACAUAUAUCGGUAUGUAGAAAAAUUAAAAGUGAUAUAUACGUAAAAUCGUGAGAGCAAAUAGCGUUGAAACAUUAGACUAAACACCUCGUGGCGCUUCUGUUGCCUCAUUAUUUCGCUGAAUUUAAUAAACGCUUUGAUAAUACACCAUCUGAAUUACAAAAAUA
RNA transcript from Venturia canescens, 9996 nucleotides. It is a transcript of the gene named Molecule interacting with CasL, with no coding region annotated. The record is from RefSeq and is a predicted model, not a curated record. The transcript has 29 exons. NCBI's taxonomy places the organism in Eukaryota, Metazoa, Arthropoda, Insecta, Hymenoptera, Ichneumonidae.